AGGGUGCCCAGAGAAGCUGUGGCUGCCCCAUCCCUGGCAGUGUUCAAGGCCAGGCUGGACACAGGGGCUUGGAGCAAGCUGCUCUAGUGGAAGGUGUCCCUGCCCAUGGCAGAGGUUGGGACUGGAUGAGCUUUAAGGUCCCUACAACCCAAACCAGUCUGUGGUUCUAUGAUAUGCUGAGUGCCUUUUGUUUUUGAUUGAAUCUUGAUGCACUAGUUGUGAGUAAUCUUCACUGUCUAAGAAUAUAACAGUUGCGGAAUUCAACUCCAAGUCAUUAACAGGUCAAAAAAUAAAGAAAAAAGCUAUCAAGAAUAUCAUAAUGUAAGUUACAUAGACCAUGAAUAUAAAAGCAUCUUUGGCUUUGCAGGGUAUUGUAAUUAAUUUGUAUCUGCUUUUGUUGUAAGCUUUGUGAGGAGCUUACAUGGAACUUGAGUUUAGGGUAAUGGUCCCGUUGAAAUGCAUAUUUUACUUUUAAUCUUUGUUUGCUGUGUCAGUUUCUGCCAUCUGCUAAGCUAUGCUGCAAACAUCUCUGUUUAUUGCUCAUGUUACUCCUGUAUAGAAGUCGAGCAUCGAUCCAGUGUUACGAACUGAAGUACUGAGGUAAGGAAGAAAUGAACCAGAACUGAUAAAUAAUGUUCUAAAUUUGGCAUAGAUAGAUGGGGUUUAGAUCAAAAACGUGAUUUUUAAAAUCCCUGUCUAGUUAGAGAUUAACAUCAAUAGUUUUGCUUCUACCUGAGGUCAAGGACUGCUCGCACUGGGUAUCUUGAUGCUGAAGCCAGACUGAAAUCUGGUUAAUUCAUCAUCCUGCAGCCUCUGAGGAUGGAACAAUGUUCCCAUUUAGCCCAGGGCAUGAGCAGUUUCUAUUGAGAAGACUGGGAUCCCUCUAAGGUGCAGGGCUAAGAUGCUACUGUACUUUAAAACAUGGCACUCAGAGGAGGCAAGUUGGUAGUUCCUAAUAAAUCUUUGGAGUUAUGGUCAAAAGAGGUCCAUGGUCUCAGCCCAGCAUGGAGAUGCUUUGUGGGUGCUCUGGGGAGUGGAGGGAAAGCUAAUCCAAAAUCACAUUUGCCCUAGUCCUGCAAAUUUUUCCAGGAGUAGUGGCAUGACUUCAGUGUGAGAGGUGCUGAGCAUACCAACUAGCCAUUGUUACAGUAUUUGGGGCACAGGUUUGAACCUCUUUUAUUGGGAAAAGAAUUGGACAUAGCUAAGUACUCUAACAACUACACUACUACUAGAAUAAAGAAUUUCACCCAUCUCUGUGACGUGGGGGGGGAAAGACGUUCUGGUGUCUAUGCUAUAAUCUUAAACCUCAGUGGUUUCUUACACUGUCUGAGGAUAGAAGGAGGAAAAGCUGCUAAUGAAAGGGGGGUCCAAAGGAAAUCUAGCGUGCUGGCUGCUUUGAAUCUCUUUUUGAUAGGUACCAAACACAGAAUCCCCAGAUUUGCUUUGGGAUCAGAUGCUUCAGGAUGAAGUGUUGCUGAAUAUCAGUUCUGUACUUCAUCUGGUUCCUAAGGGACCUUCACGUGGCCAAAUGCAGGCUACAUCUGUGCUUGGAGCAGGAUCCAGGUGAGCUCAUCUGCAGGCUUGUGCUCUUACUCACUGCCAGCAGCUGUGUUCCAGGGAAAGCUGUUUUUAAGGCAUGGAUGCAGGCUGAAUUUAAUCUUUUGGGCUAGAACUGUCUCCAUUGUAGGACUGUAUGUGAAUCACUUCCGCAAUGCACCUGGUUGCCUGGAGGUCUCACUGUGAAGCCCUAAAUCUACCAGUCAAAGCAUAGGGGUGUAUCUAGACCAUUCUCUUCAAACACAAUUCAGUAUAAAUUUGCUGUGAAAAGCAGCUACACUUUGCUGGAAGUACCAACCUCUGGGCUCAGGAAAAGGUUCUGAGUGCAGAUGUGUUUAACUUUGACAACACUGUUUCUCACUUUGCUGUUGUUUCAUGGUGCCAGUGAUUUGAGAAGCAGACGGGCAAGCAACUGUGCAUUAUCCCACUAAUAGAUAUACUAAGACAUUCCAAGGAGAGAGACAUAAACUGUCUCCCUCACCCAAUAUUUUAAUCCUAGCUAGAUUAUACUAUCAUGCAAAAAAUACCUGUGUAUUCUGACUGCUGGACAAUAUUCCUGAGUCUGCUAAUGCAAUCCCACUGAAGCAGAGCAAUCAUCCUGAUGUAUCUUUAAAGUGACUUUUGGUUUUUAAAGUGAAAUAACUCAUGGGAAGGGAGCUGCUACCAACAUGAUUUCCAAGUAGUGGAGGUAUGGGUGAGCAUCUUGCUUGUUCCCUGUGCACUGUGCAUCUGUUAUGAUAAUGGGAAGAGAAUCUGUGUUUUCGUGAGCUGAUCCAAAUCUCGCUGCAAUUGAAGACAAUCCUGCUGUGAGCCUUUGCUGAGUGCCUGGAACAUGAACCAAAACUGCAGUAAAAGAUAUAGAAUUAAAAUGUUUCUCUUAAAUAAAUAGACAAAAAAGACAUUUGAUACCUGCUGUGUAGUUUGCACGUUUUAUCUCCUUUGCUUAAGCGCUUAAUUACCUUGCCUAAUUCAGCUUUUCUGGGCCUUAGUGGUUUAGUUUAUACAGAGUCUAUAACUGUUGGUUUCUCUUCUUUUCUGGUAGUCUUUUGUAGGAGUAAAAUACACUUGCAGGAAGGACACCCAGGCUGCUUCCAGGAUAAAAAUAUAUUGCCUGUAUUGAGCAUCCCAUUUAUCUUCACAUCCUGAUUGGAAACAAAGAUAUUUAAAGUCUUUA
This is a long non-coding RNA of Pezoporus occidentalis (night parrot), 2731 nucleotides long. RefSeq lists it as uncharacterized. The transcript has 2 exons. The record is from RefSeq and is a predicted model, not a curated record. Lineage: Eukaryota; Metazoa; Chordata; Aves; Psittaciformes; Psittacidae.